GCAAAUAAAGCGUUGCAGGUGUUAUAUAAAAAGAAUAAAACUUGUCUGCUGGAAGUAAAGAGGGGACUAAGAGUAUGGAGAUAUGCUAAGAUCCGAGCGCAGGCGUUUACGCGUAUGGGAGACUCAAAGGUUCCUUUGAUGCAUUUGGGUGUACUGGAGAACGGGCAGCCUAUUGAAGCAUGGCAGACCACCUGAGAGUUGUUUUCUGGACUCUGGGAGGUCACCUGACACCAGUGCUCUGGAGAAGGUGCACCGCACUGGAUUUCACAUGAAAAGAUCUCACAGCUUUGGAAUGACACAAGAGUGAAAUUCAAUAUGUGCAAAGCAUUUUAGCCAUCUUAGGAGUGAGGAGACGAAUCAUUUCUGUUCUGAAUGGAUGAUUCAGAGCCAGAGGUGAAUCAUACAGGGGUUUGUUUGUAUCUGUGCCUCUGAUCCCCCUCUGAUAGUCCCUACAUCGCGCAACAUCUGUCACGCCGCGUGCCACAAUCGCUCACGUAGAGCUUUAGGUGAUGCUGGGGUAUGGUUAUUCCUGCCACACGGUCCACAUGGGCAUCCCCAACGCCAGCGCUCAUUAGCAGGCAGGUGGCGUUAGAGAUUCGACUGGGGCCGAGACGAGGAAUAGAACCUGGCAAAGCGGGUUGAACGUCCGCAUCGGGUAAUCCCCGCCAGAUUGCCAGGAUAUCAGAAGUGACAUCACAAAGCCAACAAAAAUUAGCAUCCCUAAUGGUCUGCCAGGCCAAACAUUAUUCUUCAUGAUGAGAAGCAGUCAUGCCUGCCCAGGGCUCCUGACGAUUUGGCCAAAAGCAGUGGAGGCCCCUGAGCUCUCAGCUCCAGCCAAAACCAACAGGCACUAUUCUCCAACCCAUGAAGACCGGUUCUACUCUACUGACAAGGAAGUUCCUGAGGAAAAUCCUUGAUACGCUCCCAUCAUACGCCGCUGAUGCCUUCAGAUUCUAGAAGAUCCUGACCUGAAUGCAAAGGAAGAGGCUCUCACCUGGUGCUUGAUAACCAGUGAAAAACACCUUGACUAGAUUUAGAAGCUAAAACCGAGAAAGAUCAAUGAGAGGAGAGUGGGAGAGUGGCAGAUUUAAUUAAUUACUGCAUAUUAGAAUGUUUGUUUACAAAAGUGAACAGUUACAAGGGGCCUGAUGGUAAUUAAUUUAAAACGUACUUCCCCCUGUCCCUGCCUCGCGUCUGCACUAGACGUGGUUGUUUCAUGGCAGGUAAGUCUACGUCUCAUUGGAUUUCCAUCAAUUGCUCAAAGGUGUGUUUGAAAACAAAGAUGCAUGGUACGCAAAUUAGCCUGAAUGUUAACAUGAUUGCAUAUUAAGAAAUCUAAUUAGUAUUCAAGGGAAUCAGAAGGGAAGAGCUGCAUGAUGUUGUGAUAAUGCACGUCUGUAUGGAGAGUUUUACCGUUUUUCGCCUAUAACAUAUUUGCUUUUUCAUUCUCUAUUGUAUUUAAAUGUAACUUUGUGUUUUAAACAGAUCUGUAAAUUCUCUCCGUAAAGAUGACUUAAUUUUCCCGACAAUGUCACAGCGGUUGCACGUUUGUGUGUUUUCAGCUGUGGUCAGGACGGUCUCUCGAGGUCCCCCCUCCAGGACAAUGAUGUAUUUAAGUCCCCUAAGAGGUCAGAUGGACUCUGUCCAGAACAUCACCUGCAAUCAAUAGUGUUGGUAAACCAGGCUCAACUGAGUGGCCAUGAAGACUCCCCUUAUAAACACGCUCACAGAGAGGCCGGCAUGGCCCAUUGCUUUGCUAAAACCGCAACCAACAUCCUCACACACACACACACACACACACACACACACACACACACACGCAACACAUGCCACCACUCUGAAAACAAGUGUUGAUGACAAAGAGAAGAAAAAUAACAGCACCUCAGCGGUAAGUGGAGAGCCUCCAGGUGAUGAAAUCCUCUCUAAAGUGACACAAAAUUGAAGCAAAUUGACAGCCAUGUGAAUGUGUUUAUAAAUGCUAGUCUGUGGUACUGCUGUGGAGCAAUGAGGACACUGGAGUGAUAGUUGGGAUUUAUCUUAUUUUACUGAAAUCAUUUAGUUUCAUGAGAUAAAUUUAUGAAAUAAAAACUGUUACAUUUUUUAAAUUAAUUAAAUUUAUUUUAUUUGAGUUAACAUUUAUUUCAUUGAGCUAGCUGCAACAUGGGCCAAGGCAUUAUUUAUUUUUCUUUCUUUUAUUGGUUUAAAUAACUUAAACUAAAAUUAAAAAUUUAAAACUAAAUGAAUAUUACAAAAAUUACUAAAAUGAAAAUGAAAAAUAUAAAAAGCUAAUUCAGUAUGUAAACUAUUAUUAUUAAAUCUAUAAUAGUAUAUCAAUAAUAGUAAAAUAGCAAAUUCAUUAUUCUUAUUUCAAUAGUGCAUACAUGUAUACCAGCA
Puntigrus tetrazona (Sumatra barb) is the source of this 2394-nucleotide long non-coding RNA. RefSeq lists it as uncharacterized. The record is from RefSeq and is a predicted model, not a curated record. The transcript is spliced from 4 exons. Lineage: Eukaryota; Metazoa; Chordata; Actinopteri; Cypriniformes; Cyprinidae.